CGCCACGCCACUUUCCUGUUCAAGUGAGCACAGCACAACAAGUGGCUUUGCUGGCAUGCAUCCCACAUUUUCUUUGCCCAACCAAGAUUGACAUGCUAAAAUCACCACUGGCUAGCAAUCAUACCAAACAGGUGUAUGUGCCUGUCUGUACACUGUACAAGGAUCAUUCAAGGCUAUCCAGCCCCAGCUAACACGGAUUGACAUACAUUUUGACCAUCACCACCUCUCUGCCAUCAGGUUGUUGGCCUGAGGUAGGACUAAAUAGAUUGGAUGCAGAAUUACAAUCCCUUACAAUACCUCACAUCCUACACAUCUUCAGCGGAGAAGAACAUCCAUAGACACAGAGCUGCUGCAGCAGAUAUACCACUUCCUACAGGGGUUAGUGUGUGAGGGCUCUAACAUGCUGCUCCCUCUGAGGAAGAACGUCCUGAAAAACAUGGCCUUCCCCUCCUUUCACCAGGACACACACUUCUCAACCUCUAUAUACUGUAUACACUUCCGACCAAAUGCCCUGGUGGGCCAACACGUCAAACUGUGGUCAGAGGGAGCUGGGGUGCAGACAUCAGAUGGUGGAGAGGAUGGUUGACUCAGUGGAGGACAUCCCAGCCACUUGGCAGUGUUGGCACUGUUACUUCCUGCCUGAUGGGUACCUGGCCAGCCGAAUGCAGGUGUGUUCUCCCGACAACAUGAGGCUCCUGUGCUCACUCCCCAAAUACACACCGAACACACACUAUUGGGAAUGUUCCCCUAUUUAAAUGUUAUGUGUUGUGUGUCAGAGUUGAGGGACAAUAAGCCAGUGUUUGAGAAGAUGGGUCUGGUGUGUGAGGAGGACAUGCAGAUGCACUCCAAGUUCCUGGACAGAAAGGAGGAGUUGAAGGCAGAACAUGUCUCAUACCUGCACCAGGAGCUCCGUGCCAUGAUGGCCGACUUCCUGCAGUUCCUGUUUCAGCGAAAACCGAGCAAUGUCUUCAUGUUCGCCAGCAAGAACUUCUCUCCCUUCGCCUCCUGACGACCCCUGGGGGGCACCUUCAACACCUCCUUAUCUUGAGGGGUCACACUGUGGCUGCGUCUCAAUAGUCUGGUAGCUUCCUCCCACAGGCACUAUAGUGAGGACAAUACUCUUCUGGUUAGCACUUGACAUUAGUAUGUACAGAGGCCCUCAAUCAUCAAAUAUGAAUGCUUUUGUGGAUAUUUAGUAUUUUAUUUUGUGGUACUGUUUUUACUGUCUACUGUUUUUGUAUGAGCUGCACUGAAAUAAAUUCCAAUCAACUCUGAAA
This is a non-coding RNA of Salmo salar (Atlantic salmon), 1277 nucleotides long. Lineage: Eukaryota; Metazoa; Chordata; Actinopteri; Salmoniformes; Salmonidae. The record is from RefSeq and is a predicted model, not a curated record.